ACACGCCGGCAGAGGGCAUCGUCAGUCACCGGGCGUCUCACCACGGCGCACCUCGGGCCUGAGCCCGACAGUGGGCACAAGGGGCAGGGAGUGGGAGCGGAAGGCCCUGCACUACAGCCUUCGGAGAGCGUCACUGGGUAGGUGUGGGCUGCAGGCUUUGCGGCGGCACGGACCUGCCCCUGGCUGGUGAGCAGCGUUUUUACGCAGAGCACCUAUGGAUCACGGCCGGUGACGGGAGGAGGAAGGUACAGGAGUGAACACGACGCCAUCUCGAACUCGUUAGACCUGCACUCAAGGCCUUGGGCGGCCCUAGGUGUGCACUACGAAGCCCAGGUCGCCGCAGAUGCUAAACCCAGCAGGCUCGGGCGCCGGCCCUACCCGGACCCCUGCGGCCCAGGCCCCGCCCCCCCUUGGACGGGGGUGCGGCGUCCACAACGGACGCUAGGAGGCCCACCUGGCGCCUGAGGAGGCAGCGACUUACCGUGAUCACGGCGGGAAUGUUGACGGGAAAAGAGCUGACUGAGAAGGGGGAAGGCAUCGUCCCGGAAAGGCUCCGUCUCACGACCACCGUCAGAAGACAAGGGAGGCCUCUGGUGUUGAUCUCGCGAGAUCUCCACUUGUCGCGAGGCCCGUUUUAUUGGGCCAAGUGGGGAGCGGGCUCCUGUCAUCUCGCGAUAUCUGCCGCGCUCGGUACCAGGUUCACGUCUCGCGGUUGUCUAUGGCGUUAAAAUAAAUAAUGGAACUGCUA
This is a long non-coding RNA of Manis pentadactyla (Chinese pangolin), 748 nucleotides long. RefSeq lists it as uncharacterized. The transcript is spliced from 2 exons. The record is from RefSeq and is a predicted model, not a curated record. NCBI's taxonomy places the organism in Eukaryota, Metazoa, Chordata, Mammalia, Pholidota, Manidae.